RNAcentral lists this ribosomal RNA (489 nucleotides) under uncultured organism. RNAcentral's name for it is "bacterial SSU rRNA". It matches the Rfam family "Bacterial small subunit ribosomal RNA", at positions 56 to 527 of the family's 1533-position model. The record is from RNAcentral.
UGCAGUCGACGAGAAGUUUCUUCGGAAUGAGUAAAGUGGCGCACGGGUGAGUAACGCGUAGAUAACCUGUCCAAGCGACUGGGAUAGCCCUUCGAAAGGGGGAUUAAUACCGGAUACGUUGAUUGUUUUUAAGGACAAUCAAGAAAGGUGGCCUCUAUUUAUAAGCUAUCACGCAUGGAGGGGUCUGCGUACCAUUAGUUUGUUGGUGGGGUAAUGGCCUACCAAGACUGCGAUGGUUAACGGGUCUGAGAGGAUGAUCCGUCACACUGGCACUGAAACACGGGCCAGACUCCUACGGGAGGCAGCAGUGAGGAAUAUUGCGCAAUGGGGGCAACCCUGACGCAGCGACGCCGCGUGGGUGAGGAAGGCUUUCGGGUCGUAAAACCCUGUCAGAAGGGAAGAAAUGCUUAUAGGUUAAUACCUUGUAAGUUUGACGGUACCUUCAGAGGAAGCACCGGCUAACUCCGUGCCAGCAGCCGCGGUAAUACG